Molecule: ribosomal RNA, 45 nt
Filed under: Bradyrhizobium sp. 12LoS14_2
Lineage: Bacteria; Pseudomonadati; Pseudomonadota; Alphaproteobacteria; Hyphomicrobiales; Nitrobacteraceae
Description: partial 16S ribosomal RNA
Source: RNAcentral
UAACAAGGUAGCCGUAGGGGAACCUGCGGCUGGAUCACCUCCUUG